Molecule: ribosomal RNA, 492 nt
Filed under: uncultured bacterium
Lineage: Bacteria
Description: partial 16S ribosomal RNA
Rfam family: Bacterial small subunit ribosomal RNA
Source: RNAcentral
AGUGAACGCUGGCGGUAGGCCUAACACAUGCAAGUCGAACGGUAGCACAGUAAGAGCUUGCUCUUACGGGUGGCGAGUGGCGGACGGGUGAGGAAUACAUCGGAAUCUACUUUUUCGUGGGGGAUAACGUAGGGAAACUUACGCUAAUACCGCAUACGACCUACGGGUGAAAGCAGGGGAUCUUCGGACCUUGCGCGAUUGAAUGAGCCGAUGUCGGAUUAGCUAGUUGGCGGGGUAAAGGCCCACCAAGGCGACGAUCCGUAGCUGGUCUGAGAGGAUGAUCAGCCACACUGGAACUGAGACACGGUCCAGACUCCUACGGGAGGCAGCAGUGGGGAAUAUUGGACAAUGGGCGCAAGCCUGAUCCAGCCAUACCGCGUGGGUGAAGAAGGCCUUCGGGUUGUAAAGCCCUUUUGUUGGGAAAGAAGAGCAGCAGGUUAAUACCCCGCUGUUCUGACGGUACCCAAAGAAUAAGCACCGGCUAACUUCGUG